This is a non-coding RNA of Salmo salar (Atlantic salmon), 54 nucleotides long. The record is from Rfam. Lineage: Eukaryota; Metazoa; Chordata; Actinopteri; Salmoniformes; Salmonidae.
UGCAUUCACUACUAUAAGUAGCUCUGGAUAAGAGCGUCUGCUAAAUGACUAAAA